CAUUACAAUGAUUAUGCUGGAGCCAAUGGCAUUACCCAAUGGUUAAGUGUUAAUCAGUUUCAAACUAUUUAAUAUUAACAGGGUUAUUCACAAAAGUAAGAAUGGCUGAGAAUUCAUAAAUAAUCUCAAACGUAAGGCAAAAAUAGCCAAAAUGAACAGGGUUGACUUGGAGAAUUUUUUUAAAAUAAGCUAUUUAAGCCAAAAUGUUGAAAUUCACUUCCAUUUCCCGACAAUUCUCACGUUACUGUUGAUGAAGGUACUGGACGCCCAUGACUCCGCAACACACAACACUAACUCUCCAUCCAACUAUCGUCCUAUCUCGCUACUGCCUUUUGCAUCCAAGAUCCUUGAAAGAAUUGUGUAUGCGAGAUUGACAGACUUCCUCGAGUCCAACUUUCUGCUAGAGCCGCUUCAGUCUGGUUUCCGCGCGAAGCACUCUGUGGAAACUGCACUGACCAAAGUAUCCAAUGAUCUACUCGCUGCAAAAUCUCGUGGUCACUACUCUAUCGUAAUUCUCCUUGACCUGUCUGCGGCUUUUGACACUGUUGAUCAUCAACAGCUUCUUCUCAUCCUCCGCAAUAUCGGUCUACAAGAUAUUGCUCUCUCCUGGUGCUCCUCCUACCUCUCCCAGCGCUCUUUUAGUGUUUCUUUAUCUGGCUCUGUUUUAUCUCCCCAUCUCCUCUCUGUUGGUGUCCCCCAAGGUUCAGUCCUUGGUCCCCUACUGUUCUCCAUCUAUACUGCCUCCCUUGGUAAACUCAUUAGCUCCUUUGGCUUCCAAUAUCAUUUCUAUGCAGAUGACACGCAAGUCUACCUGUCCUCUCCCCGUCCCUCUUGACUAGUGUCUCUGACUGCCUCUCUGCUAUUUCUAACUGGAUGGCUGCCCACUUCCUUAAACUAAACUUGACCAAAACUGAAAUUCUGGUCUUUCCUCCCUCAAGUGUUGUUACUCCUGUGUCUGUCUCCCUCCAAGUUAACGGUGCUACCAUCAGCUCCACCAUGCAGGCUCGCUGCCUAGGUGUUCUCUUUGACUCAGACCUCUCCUUCAAGCCUCAUGUUCAAUCCAUUGCCAAAUCCUGUCAUUUCCAUCUCAAAAACAUUGCGCGCAUCCGACCCUACUUAACACCAGAUGUGACUACGGUGUUGGUCCAUUCCACUGUCCUUUCUUGCCUUGACUACUGUAAUUCGCUUCUCAGUGGUCUUAUGUGCUCCCAACUUGCGCCGUUACAGUCCAUAAUGAAUGCGGCAGCGAGGCUCAUCUUCCUGCCCGCCUGCACCUCCCAUGCCUCACCCUUCUGUCAGUCCCUACAAUGGCUUAAAAUUCUGGUUCUUGCUUUCAAAUCUCUACAUAAUGCUGCUCCCACCUAUCUAUCUGGCCUAAUACACAAGUAUGUCACGUCUAGGCCCUUACGCUCUGCUGAAGACUUACAUCUAUCUUCUGUCCGUACUCCCACCUCUGAUGCUCACCUUCAAGAUUUCUCGAGGGCUGCGCCGUUUCUGUGGAACUCGCUUCCCUCCUCCGUUACAUGCUCACCCAAUCUCCACUCCUUCAAAAUAUCGUUAAAAACCCACUUCUUCAUAAAAGCGUAUCAAUUAAACUAUUAAUAGCUCCUGACUGAUUCCUCUUCUGCAACUGUCAUUAGUCUAAUACUAUCCUUACCUUUGUGUCAUUUUACCUCACUCCCUCUAGCAUGUAAGCUCAUUGAGCAGGGCCCUCAACCCCUCUGUUCCUGUGUGUCCAGCUUGUCUGGUUACAACUACAUGUCUGUUCGUCCACCCAUUGUUAAGCGCUGCGGAAUUUGAUGGCGCUAUAUAAAUAACAUAAUAACAACACUGCAGGAGAUAUCGCUAAGGUGGAAUGCAUUUCUGCAUUAGUCGCGCCAAUCGUUUCCAAGCAAUGAAUGGCAGUGAUAGACAGAGAGCACUGAGCUGAUGCUCUGAGCCAAUCACUGCCAACCAUCUCUGCUCAGGCUCAUGUGGCAGCAUUUACCAGAGCAGCAGUGAAAACAACAGUUUAACACUGAACAGUUGACAGUGCCUGGAGACUCCAGGCACCAUAACUUCUUCAAUGGUUAUCAUGCACAGACUGUCAUUUUUAUAUACAGAAGCUGCAUAUUCAGUAGAUCUGAUAAAAGGAGCUUCGGCUCAGCAUGGUUUACAUGAUAAGACUGCACAGCCCAAGAUGAGAGGCUUGUGAUAAGUGGAGCCUUUUUCAGGUCUCAGCUCUUUGCUGCUGUUAGGUAUCCCCCCUACUUUUUCAAUGCAUUUGCCAUAUAUUAAAUAAAGGAGAGGGGGGAGAGAGAGCAUUCUACCAUGGAGUGUCUCUUUAACCAUUACUCCUUUUACAACGGUAUGCAAUGUCCAGCCCCUACCCCUAUGCAGUGACUAAAGCGGAGUUGGACAAUUUGUAUAAAACAUAACAAUGUGAACAGCUAGGAGUUUACAAAAUAGCCACAUGUUUUGCAAUCUGGAUAUUUAUGAAUUCACACAAGCUCUAGCAAGUCCCACAUGCUGGGAAUUAAGUGUAAACGUAUAACUAUAGUUAAUAAACACUGUGGGUGCCAGCUGUGAUUGCCACAUCCACCAUGUUUCACUGGGACCCUAACUCCCCCAUGGCAGUGUGCAGGCUCCACACACU
Pelobates cultripes (western spadefoot toad) is the source of this 2635-nucleotide non-coding RNA. NCBI's taxonomy places the organism in Eukaryota, Metazoa, Chordata, Amphibia, Anura, Pelobatidae. The record is from the annotation of a GenBank genome assembly.